AAAUAAAGGCAAAGAAAACGAAAACGGUCGAA
RNAcentral lists this ribosomal RNA (32 nucleotides) under Synprosphyma babeensis. RNAcentral describes it as "partial 5.8S rRNA". Lineage: Eukaryota; Metazoa; Mollusca; Gastropoda; Stylommatophora; Clausiliidae. The record is from RNAcentral.